This 2262-nucleotide ribosomal RNA is filed under the name metagenome. RNAcentral's name for it is "bacterial LSU rRNA". It matches the Rfam family "Bacterial large subunit ribosomal RNA", at positions 183 to 2539 of the family's 2925-position model. The record is from RNAcentral.
ACCGCCUGAACUGAAACAUCUAAGUAGGGCGAGGAAGAGACAUCAAACGAGAUUCCGUAAGUAGUGGCGAGCGAACGCGGAAGAGGGCAAACCGGGAGUAGAAAUACUUCCGGGGUACGGACUGCUUUUAGGACUCGAUCUGUUAACCGAACGGCAUGGGAAGGCCGGUCAGAGAGUGUGAGAACCACGUAGGUGAAAACGGAAAGAGCUGCGCAGAUUCCAGAGUACGGCCAGACACGUGAAACCUGGUCGGAAGAUGGGGGGACCACCCUCCAACCCUAAAUACUACCCAGUGACCGAUAGCGUAUAGUACUGUGAAGGAAAGGUGAAAAGCACCCCGGGAGGGGAGUGAAAAAGAACCUGAAACCCUGUGCCUACAAGCACCUAGAGCGCGUCAAUGCGUGAUAGGGUACUUUUUGUAGAACGGUCCGGCGAGCGAUUGUAUGCAGCAAGGUUAAGGACUUAAGGUCUGGAGCCGAAGCGAAAGCGAGUUUGAAAAGGGCGUUAAGUUGCAUAUAAUGGGCCCGAAACCGGGUGACCUACCCAUGGUCAGGUUGAAGUGGAAGUAAAAUUCCAUGGAGGACCGAACCGACCUCCGUUGAAAAGGCGGCGGAUGAACUGUGGGUAGCGGAGAAAUUCCAAUCGAACCCGGAGAUAGCUGGUUCUCCCCGAAAUAGUUUUAGGACUAGCCUCAAGUUAGAUACCUGGAGGUAAAGCACUGAAUAGCCUAGCGGCCGAGAGGUUAGCGAAGCUUAUCAAACUCAGAAUGCCAGAGUAUUGAUGCUUGGGAGUCAGACAGUGUCAGAUAAAUGUCAUUGUCAAAAGGGAAACAGCCCAGAUCUACAGCUAAGGUCCCAAAGUCAGGUUAAGUGGAAAACGAUGUGAAGAUACGCAGACAACCAGGAUGUUGGCUCAGAAGCAGCCACUCAUUCAAAGAGUGCGUAAUAGCUCACUGGUCGAGCGUCUUUGCGCGGAGAAUUUAACGGGGCUAAACCUGACACCGAAGCUUAGGCAAUCCAGUAAUGGAUUGGGUAGGGGAGCGUUGUAUACGCGGAGAAACAGUAGCGUGAGCGGCUGUGGAGUGUAUAGAAGUGAGAAUGCCGGAAUGAGUAGCGCGAAUGCAGUGAGAAUCUGCAUGGCCGAAAGCCUCAGGUUUUUGGAGGAAGGUUCGUCCGCUCCAAGUUAGUCGGGAGCUAAGGUGAGGCCGGAAGGCGUAGCCGAUGCACAGACGGUAGAGAUUCCGUCACCACCGAAAGAGUUAAGCACAGGGACACAUUUGAAGUCUCAGAGCCGGGUGUUGGUUCCGGUAGAGAUCGAGGGAAGUUAGUACCGAAGUCUGGGAUGGAAGAUGGCGAGAAAAGCUGUGUGUAUUUCUGAGGUGCCCGUACCGCAAACCGACACAGGUAGGUAGGAAGAAGAUUCUAAGGCCAACGGGAGAAGGGUUGUUAAGGAACUCGGCAAAUUGACCCCGUAACUUCGGGAGAAGGGGUGCUCCAGAGAUGGAGCCGCAGAGAAUCGGCCCAAGCAACUGUUUACCAAAAACACAGGUUUGUGCUAAAUCGAAAGAUGACGUAUACGAGCUGACGCCUGCCCGGUGCUGGAAGGUUAAGAGGAGAUGUGCAAGCAUUGAAUCGAAGCCCCAGUGAACGGCGGCCGUAACUAUAACGGUCCUAAGGUAGCGAAAUUCCUUGUCAGGUAAGUUCUGACCCGCAUGAAAGGCGUAAUGAUUUGGGCACUGUCUCAACAGCCCGCCCGGCGAAAUUGUAGUACCGGUGAAGAUGCCGGUUACCCGCGACAAGACGGAAAGACCCCAUGGAGCUUUACUGUAGCCUAAUAUUGGGUUUCGAUGUUGCAUGCACAGGAUAGAUGGGACACAGGGAAACAAUCGCUUUGGCGGUUGCGGAGUGGCCGUUGGGAUACCAUCCUUGCGAUAUUGGAAUUCUAACCUGCGGCUCUGAAUCGAGUCGGGGGACAUUGUUAGGUGGGCAGUUUGACUGGGGCGGUCGCCUCCUAAAAAGUAACGGAGGCGUUCAAAGGUUCGCUCAGCUUGAACGGAAAUCAAGCAAAAGAGUGCAAACGCAGAAGCGAGCCUAACUGCGAGACUGACGGGUCGAGCAGUAACGAAAGUUGGAGUUAGUGAUCCGGUGGUAUGUGAGUGGAAAUGCCAUCGCUCAACGGAUAAAAGUUACCCUGGGGAUAACAGGCUGAUCUCCCCCAAGAGUCCACAUCGACGGGGAGGUUUGGCACCUCGAUGUCGGCUCA